RNAcentral lists this microRNA (22 nucleotides) under Echinococcus granulosus. Its description in RNAcentral is "egr-miR-10227a-5p". The record is from miRBase by way of RNAcentral. Lineage: Eukaryota; Metazoa; Platyhelminthes; Cestoda; Cyclophyllidea; Taeniidae.
UGGCGCUUUCUAACUUUACUGA